GGGUCAAGACCUGACUAGCCAGCGACGGGUAUGGGGUGUGAGAGCACUUGCCCAGAGAUGGUUUCUGAGACACGAAACCAGGCCCUACGGGGCGCAGCAGGCGCGAAAACUUCGCAAUGCGGGAAACCGUGACGAGGGAACUCCAAGUGUCUAUGCAUUGCAUAGACUGUUUUUUAGCCUAAAUAGCUAUUAGAGUAAGGGGUGGGCAAGACCGGUGCCAGCCGCCGCGGUAACACCGGCACCUCGAGUGGUAGCCACUAUUAUUGGGCCUAAAGCGUUCGUAGCCGGUUUGGUAAAUUCUUGGGUAAAUCGUACCGCUUAACGGUGCGGAUUCCGGGGACACUACCAGACUUGAGACCGGGGGAGAUCAGAGGUACUUGUGGGGGAGCGGUGAAAUGUUGUAAUCCCACAGGGACCACCAGUGGCGAAGGCGUCUGAUCAGAACGGCUCUGACGGUGAGGAACGAAACCCUGGGGCGCAAACGGGAUUAGAUACCCCGGUAGUCCAGGGCGUAAACGCUGCUGACUUGGUGUUGGGGAUCCUACGAGGAUGUCCAGUGCUGGCGCGAAGGUAUUAAGUCAGCCGCCUGGGGAGUACGGUCGCAAGACUGAAACUUAAAGGAAUUGGCGGGGGAGCACUGCAACGUGUGGAGCGUGCGGUUUAAUUGGAUUCAACGCCGGAAAACUCACCGGGGGCGACGGUUACAUGAAGGCCAAGCUGAUGACUUUGCCUGAUUUUCCGAGAGGUGGUGCAUGGCCGCCGUCAGUUCGUACCGUAAGGCGUUCUGUUAAGUCAGAUAACGAACGAGACCUCCGUCACCAUUUGCUAUUCUUCGCUCCGGAGAGGGUGCACUAUGGUGGUAACGCCACUGUUAAAGUGGAGGAAGGAGGGGGCAACGGUAGGUCAGUAUGCCCCGAAUCUCCCGGGCUA
This 930-nucleotide ribosomal RNA is filed under the name marine metagenome. RNAcentral's name for it is "bacterial SSU rRNA". It matches the Rfam family "Archaeal small subunit ribosomal RNA", at positions 239 to 1172 of the family's 1478-position model. The record is from RNAcentral.